UCUGAUGGAGCACGCCGCGUGAGUGAAGAAGGGUUUCGGCUCGUAAAACUCUGUUGUUAGAGAAGAACAGCCGUGAGAGCAACUGCUCACGGUAUGACGGUAUCUAACCAGAAAGUCACGGCUAACUACGUGCCAGCAGCCGCGGUAAUACGUAGGUGGCAAACGUUGUCCGGAUUUAUUGGGCGUAAAGGGAGCGCAGGCGGUUUAUUAAGUCUGAUGUGAAAGCCUUCGGCUUAACCGGAGAAGUGCAUCGGAAACUGAUAAACUUGAGUGCAGAAAAGGAUAGUGGAACUUCAUGUGUAGCGGUGAAAUGCGUAGAUAUAUGAAGGAACACCAGUGGCGAAGGCGGCUAUCUGGUCUGUAACUGACGCUGAGGCUCGAAAGCAUGGGUAGCAAACAGGAUUAGAUACCCUGGUAGUCCAUGCCGUAAACGAUGAAUGCUAGGUGUUGGAAGGUUUCCGCCUUUCAGUGCCGCAGCUAACGCAUUAAGCAUUCCGCCUGGGGAGUACGACCGCAAGGUUGAAACUCAAAGGAAUUGACGGGGACCCGCACAAGCGGUGGAGCAUGUGGUUUAAUUCGAUGCUACGCGAAGAACCUUACCAGGACUUGACAUCUUCUGCCAAUCUAAGAGAUUAGACGUUCCCUUCGGGGACAGAAUGACAGGUGGUGCAUGGUUGUCGUCAGCUCGUGUCGUGAGAUGUUGGGUUAAGUCCCGCAACGAGCGCAACCCUUGUCUUUAGUUGCCAGCAUUAAGUUGGGCACUCUAGAGAGACUGCCGGUGAUAAACCGGAGGAAGGUGGGGAUGACGUCAAAUCAUCAUGCCCCUUAUGUCCUGGGCUACACACGUGCUACAAUGGGCGAUACAACGAGUUGCGAAACCGCGAGGUCAAGCUAAUCUCUUAAAGUCGUUCUCAGUUCGGAUUGCAGUCUGCAACUCGACUGCAUGAAGUUGGAAUCGCUAGUAAUCGUGGA
RNAcentral lists this ribosomal RNA (972 nucleotides) under Fructilactobacillus sanfranciscensis. RNAcentral describes it as "bacterial SSU rRNA". It matches the Rfam family "Bacterial small subunit ribosomal RNA", at positions 382 to 1348 of the family's 1533-position model. The record is from RNAcentral. Lineage: Bacteria; Bacillati; Bacillota; Bacilli; Lactobacillales; Lactobacillaceae.